RNAcentral lists this ribosomal RNA (563 nucleotides) under uncultured bacterium. RNAcentral's name for it is "partial 16S ribosomal RNA". It matches the Rfam family "Bacterial small subunit ribosomal RNA", at positions 355 to 1375 of the family's 1533-position model. The record is from RNAcentral.
UGGGGAAUAUUGGACAAUGGGCGAAAGCCUGAUCCAGCAAUGCCGCGUGAGUGAUGAAGGCCUUAGGGUUGUAAAGCUCUUUUACCAGGGAUGAUAAUGACAGUACCUGGAGAAUAAGCUCCGGCUAACUCCGUGCCAGCAGCCGCGGUAAUACGGAGGGAGCUAGCGUUGUUCGGAAUUACUGGGCGUAAAGCGCACGUAGGCGGCGAUUCAAGUCAGAGGUGAAAGCCCGGGGCUCAACCCCGGAACUGCCUUUGAAACUAGAUUGCUAGAAUCCUGGAGAGGUGAGUGGAAUUCCGAGUGUAGAGGUGAAAUUCGUAGAUAUUCGGAAGAACACCAGUGGCGAAGGCGACUCACUGGACAGGUAUUGACGCUGAGGUGCGAAAAGCGUGGGGAGCAAACAGGAUUAGAUACCCUGGUAGUCCACGCCGUAAACGAUGAUAACUAGCUGUCCGGGCUCAUAGAGCUUGGGUGGCGCAGCUAACGCAUUAAGUUAUCCGCCUGGGGAGUACGGUCGCAAGAUUAAAACUCAAAAGGAAUUGACGGGGUCAUAGCUGUUUCCU